This 115-nucleotide ribosomal RNA is filed under the name Lentisphaerota bacterium. The record is from RNAcentral. Lineage: Bacteria; Pseudomonadati; Lentisphaerota.
CCCGGUGACCAUGGCGGGGAGGAAACACGCGUUCCCAUUCCGAACACGAUCGUUAAGGGCCCCUGCGGCAAUGGUACUGUGGUGUAGGCCACGGGAGAGUAGCACGUUGCCGGGA